GAUGAACGCUGGCGGCGUGCCUAAUACAUGCAAGUCGAGCGAACGGACGAGAAGCUUGCUUUUCUGAUGUUAGCGGCGGACGGGUGAGUAACACGUGGAUAACCUACCUAUAAGACUGGGAUAACUUCGGGAAACCGGAGCUAAUACCGGAUAAUAUUUUGAACCGCAUGGUUCAAAAGUGAAAGACGGUCUUGCUGUCACUUAUAGAUGGAUCCGCGCUGCAUUAGUUAGUUGGUAAGGUAACGGCUUACCAAGGCAACGAUGCAUAGCCGACCUGAGAGGGAGGUUGGCCAGCCUGGAAGUGAGACACGGUCCAGACUCCUACGGUAGGCAGCAGUAGGGAAUCUUCCGCAAUGGGGGAAAGCCGGACGGAGCAACGCCGCGUGAGUGAUGAAGGUGUUCGGAUCGUAAAGCUCUGUUAUUAGGGGAGAAGAUAUGCGUAAGUAACUGUGCACAUCUUGACGGUACCUAAUCAGAAAGCCACGGCUAACUACGUG
RNAcentral lists this ribosomal RNA (497 nucleotides) under uncultured bacterium. RNAcentral's name for it is "partial 16S ribosomal RNA". It matches the Rfam family "Bacterial small subunit ribosomal RNA", at positions 28 to 507 of the family's 1533-position model. The record is from RNAcentral.